UAGCAAAUUUUGUUUGGGUUCAUUUGUUGUUGUUUUUACUCUAGAUUUGAACCUAAUGAAAGCUGCAGCUGAUAUCCUUCCUGAGGACGUCCAGAAGCUCUUUGGAGAAGUUGAAGAUUAUCUGGAAAACCUACAGAGUGAGAGCCUUAGUGCUAGAGCACGGAUACAGAGAGAUGAAAUCCUAUUUGAUAUUGAACAACUUAAAGAGAGGUAUCAGUGGGGAUUCCUACCGGGAG
Molecule: non-coding RNA, 236 nt
Organism: Thamnophis sirtalis
Lineage: Eukaryota; Metazoa; Chordata; Lepidosauria; Squamata; Natricidae
Source: RefSeq, a predicted model, not a curated record